GAUGAAGAACGCAGCGAAAUGCGAUACUUGGUGUGAAUUGCAGAAUCCCGUGAACCAUCGAGUCUUUGAACGCAAGUUGCGCCUCAAGCCAUUAGGUUGAGGGCACGUCUGCCUGGGCGUCACAUAUCGUUGCCUGAUGCCAGUUUCCUCGUGAUGGGUGACUGUGCAGGGCGAAUGAUGGCUUCCCGUGAGCAUUGUUGCCUCAUGGUUGGUUGAAUAUUGAGUCCUUGGUAGGGAGCGCCGUGAUAGAUGGUGGUUGAGUGACGAACGAGACCCAAUCAUGUGAGACCCCUACCGAAUUUGGCCUUCAUGACCCACAUGCGUCUUUGGAACGCUCAUGACGAGACCUCAGGUCAGGCGGGGCUACCCGCUGAGUUUAAGCAUAUCAAUAAGCGGAGGA
RNAcentral lists this unclassified non-coding RNA (400 nucleotides) under soil metagenome. Its description in RNAcentral is "partial contains 5.8S ribosomal RNA, internal transcribed spacer 2, and large subunit ribosomal RNA". The stretch from base 1 to 122 matches the Rfam family "5.8S ribosomal RNA", at positions 35 to 154 of the family's 154-position model. The record is from RNAcentral.